This 69-nucleotide transfer RNA is filed under the name Pelotretis flavilatus (southern lemon sole). RNAcentral's name for it is "tRNA-Met". It matches the Rfam family "tRNA". Rfam says of the family: Transfer RNA (tRNA) molecules are approximately 80 nucleotides in length. Their secondary structure includes four short double-helical elements and three loops (D, anti-codon, and T loops). Further hydrogen bonds mediate the characteristic L-shaped molecular structure. tRNAs have two regions of fundamental functional importance: the anti-codon, which is responsible for specific mRNA codon recognition, and the 3' end, to which the tRNAs corresponding amino acid is attached (by aminoacyl-tRNA synthetases). tRNAs cope with the degeneracy of the genetic code in two manners: having more than one tRNA (with a specific anti-codon) for a particular amino acid; and 'wobble' base-pairing, i.e. permitting non-standard base-pairing at the 3rd anti-codon position. Lineage: Eukaryota; Metazoa; Chordata; Actinopteri; Pleuronectiformes; Rhombosoleidae. The record is from RNAcentral.
AGCAAAGUCAGCUAAAAAAGCUCUUGGGCCCAUACCCCAACAAUGUAGGUUAAAGCCCUAUCUCUGCUA